GCAAGAAAUCAUCCAACCAUUCUCUUUCCCAACCCAGCACUACACCGCCGCUGCCUCCUCUCCUCCAUCUCUGCAUGGGCGCGCACCCCCAUCCUCCCCAACCUAGUCGCCGGCUGGCCGCUGCUCCCUCUCCUCCAUCUCUGCACGGGCGCGCACCCCCAUCCUCCUCAACCUGGUCGCCGGCCAGCCCCUGCGCGACGUCGUUCAUCGAGCUAGGGUUGGAGCAGCUCGGCGGCGAUGAGGAGCAGGCCAGCCCUCUCAAGAGGGUCGUCCACACCGUUGCCGUCGGUGACUUUCAGGGGCAGUCGGCGCCUCUCCUCUCUAAUCGCGACUCCGGCGACGUCGGCCAGGACGUUCGCAAUCGGCGCAAACGUGGUGGAGAUGUAGGGCCCCUUGAGGGAGAGGUCGAUGCUGAGUUGCGCCUGUUGAAGCAUGACGGAGAGGGGGAGGCCUUCCGGCCACCGCCGGCUCAGCGUCAGCUUAUGAUCGAGGUGCAGCUCCAGCAGCACCGGCAGUUUGCUGCGGGUCAUCAGCAGAGCGCAGUUCAUCUUCCAAAUCAUGCCCCGACCCCGGCUGCAUCUCCCCUUCCGCUACACGAACGCCUUGGGUGCGGUCUUUAGUCCUCACUGGUGAGCCCCUCCAUAUUAUUUUGUAUAGGGCUUCAGCCGCUGCUGCUUGCUUCUGUUUUAGGUGGUUGCCGCUUUGACAGGCGUUUGUGAAGCGAAUCAGGUUCGUUCUUCGGUCCGUUGAAGUGGCCGGGGAUUGUUCCGGACGUGGGACUCUGAGGCGCCCCUUCUUCGUGGGUAUUUUGCUGCUGCUUUUGUUUCUUCAUUGGAUAUGCCUCCAAUUUAAGCGCGCUGGCGAUGGCAAGAAGUUCGGCGUGGAAAGCGACCAGCUCCUUUCGUGGUAUUUGACCGGCUGUGCAGUCGAGUAGUGUGACCUGACGAUUUUUUUAUUUCCGUCUUUGGUUUCCGGUUCUGAUGGUCUGGGGUGAUCUCUGCUCCCUGUGCAAUGUGAUCUUAUAAUCUACUCCCUCCGUUCCUUUUAUGUACUAAGAGAAGCAUCUGACAUGUCCGUGCUGUACCGUCCCUGUUUCUCUUCUGGUCGGCACUCUGGUUCUUUGCAUAGUGUUGUUCCGAUUUUGUAGGCUGAUUGUAACCGGAAUGAGAACCGCAGUUGUUAGGAAUACCUUUUUGUUUUUACUGAGUGAAGCUACACCAGCCUCCUCGAAUCGAUGAUCAUGUAAGCAUCUAGCAGUCUUGAAUGUCACUCUCCC
This 1276-nucleotide ribosomal RNA is filed under the name Triticum aestivum (bread wheat). RNAcentral's name for it is "partial small subunit ribosomal RNA". The record is from RNAcentral. Lineage: Eukaryota; Viridiplantae; Streptophyta; Magnoliopsida; Poales; Poaceae.